AUGGAAAUCUCGUAAUU
Molecule: transfer RNA, 17 nt
Filed under: Leucochloron foederale
Lineage: Eukaryota; Viridiplantae; Streptophyta; Magnoliopsida; Fabales; Fabaceae
Description: partial tRNA-His
Source: RNAcentral